RNAcentral lists this long non-coding RNA (649 nucleotides) under Mustela putorius furo (domestic ferret). RNAcentral's name for it is "lncRNA (ENSMPUG00000030955.1)". Lineage: Eukaryota; Metazoa; Chordata; Mammalia; Carnivora; Mustelidae. The record is from RNAcentral.
AAAAGAACUUAACAAAAAGGCAGAGGGGCGCUGGGCAUCAAUGGAAAAGUAUAGAAGAAUCUCUUGGGCUUUUCUGAUGCUUGUGGACAGCUGAGUGUAAACUUCCUGGUGCUAAGUAUGUCUUCUCCCAAAUGGGAAACUCUUUGGGAGGAGGAUCUAUGGCAGCUCUAUUUUCAGGAAACUCUGCUUCAGGGUUCUGCUGGACUAGAAAUCCUGGUUCCCAGUGGGACUACCCUUCUACCAAGGAACAUGGUAAGCUUAGAGAAAUCUCUGUCUCUGAUCCAGAAGAACCUCAAAACUCAGAAUGGAGGGAAGAACUGCAUGGGGGACUAUCAAGACUUGCUGAUCUUAAGGUAAGAGAAAAAAAAAAUUUGUCUCCAAUUCUUAGGCUCCUCUCCCUUGGAAAUACGCUGUGUCUUUUAGAGAUUACCCAACCAAUGGAGAGAGAGGAAUGUCGGGGAUAAAUAGUUGCCCUCUGAUGCGAGUCCAACAUUUCAUUUUCAUUUUCUAAAUCUUUCUCAGAAGUUUAAGAGUUGAUGCCAGUGUGAUUUGAUAAACUGGAACACAUGUUGAUUAGCUAUUGGAGGUAAAGGAGGAUUUGAGAUCAUAAAUAAUAUAAUCAGUACUGGGACCAUUGAAUGAGAAAGAG